CCACCUCAAACGCCGCGCUUCCUCGCACACUUACGAGUUCCUGAAGGGAGCGAGCUUUCGCGAGGGGGUAAGGUCUGAGAAUCCUUCCUCAACAAGUUGCUCUAGCGGGGCCAGGCACUAACUGUGUCUGCAGUUGUAUCAGAAAAUACCUCCCAUCUCUUGGCUUCUGAGGACACUUCGCGGCUCGCUGAGCUGAUGCUAGGAGAGGAACUGAACGAGGUGCUGAGUUGGAAGGCGAUUGCGAGGAUGACUGGAUGUAGUGCAAUGUGCGGCUUGUUAAGAACCGCUCAGCGUUUUGGCGUUGUGCAGCUUGACAAAACUCGAUUCAGACUAGUCUUGGGCGUGG
RNAcentral lists this RNase P RNA (346 nucleotides) under Taphrina deformans PYCC 5710. RNAcentral's name for it is "Nuclear RNase P". It matches the Rfam family "Nuclear RNase P". Rfam says of the family: Ribonuclease P (RNase P) is a ubiquitous endoribonuclease, found in archaea, bacteria and eukarya as well as chloroplasts and mitochondria. Its best characterised activity is the generation of mature 5'-ends of tRNAs by cleaving the 5'-leader elements of precursor-tRNAs. Cellular RNase Ps are ribonucleoproteins. The record is from Rfam by way of RNAcentral. Lineage: Eukaryota; Fungi; Ascomycota; Taphrinomycetes; Taphrinales; Taphrinaceae.